GCUUAACGCGAAGAACCUUACCAGGUCUUGACAUCCCACUGACCGUCCUAGAGAUAGGGCUUCCCUUCGGGGCAGUGGUGACAGGUGGUGCAUGGUUGUCGUCAGCUCGUGUCGUGAGAUGUUGGGUUAAGUCCCGCAACGAGCGCAACCCUUAUCUUUAGUUGCCAGCAUUCAGUUGGGCACUCUAGAGAGACUGCCGUCGACAAGACGGAGGAAGGCGGGGAUGACGUCAAAUCAUCAUGCCCCUUAUGACCUGGGCUACACACGUGCUGCAAUGGCUGGUACAACGGGAUGCUAACUCGCGAGAGUACGCCAAUCUCUUAAAACCAGUCUCAGUUCGGAUUGCAGGCUGCAACUCGCCUGCAUGAAGUCGGAAUCGCUAGUAACGGUGAGUCAGCUAUAUUACCGUGAAUACGUUCCCGGGUCUUGUACACACCG
RNAcentral lists this ribosomal RNA (438 nucleotides) under uncultured bacterium. RNAcentral describes it as "bacterial SSU rRNA". It matches the Rfam family "Bacterial small subunit ribosomal RNA", at positions 954 to 1392 of the family's 1533-position model. The record is from RNAcentral.